ACGUAGGGAGCAAGCGUUAUCCGGAUUUAUUGGGCGUAAAGAGUGCGCAGCCGGUUUAUUAAGUCUAAAAUUAAAGCCUGGAGCUUAACUCCAGUUCGUUUUAGAAACUGAUAGACUCGAGUGUGGUAGAGGCAAAUGGAAUUUCUAGUGUAGCGGUAAAAUGCGUAGAUAUUAGAAGGAACACCAGUGGCGAAGGCGAUUUGCUGGGCCAUUACUGACGGUCAUGCACGAAAGCGUGGGGAGCAAAUAG
RNAcentral lists this ribosomal RNA (250 nucleotides) under uncultured prokaryote. Its description in RNAcentral is "partial 16S rRNA". It matches the Rfam family "Bacterial small subunit ribosomal RNA", at positions 525 to 775 of the family's 1533-position model. The record is from RNAcentral.